Molecule: ribosomal RNA, 497 nt
Filed under: uncultured bacterium
Lineage: Bacteria
Description: partial 16S ribosomal RNA
Rfam family: Bacterial small subunit ribosomal RNA
Source: RNAcentral
GAUGAACGCUGGCGGCGUGCCUAAUACAUGCCAGUCGAGCGAACGGACGAGAAGCUUGCUUUUCUGAUGUUAGCGGCGGACGGGUGAGUAACACGUGGAUAACCUACCUAUAAGACUGGGAUAACUUCGGGAAACCGGAGCUAAUACCGGAUAAUAUUUUGAACCGCAUGGUUCAAAAGUGAAAGACGGUCUUGCUGUCACUUAUAGAUGGAUCCGCGCUGCAUUAGCUAGUUGGUAAGGUAACGGCUUACCAAGGCAACGAUGCAUAGCCGACCUGAGAGGGUGAUCGGCCACACUGGAACUUGGCCACGGUCCAGACUCCUACGGGAGGCAGCAGUAGGGAAUCUUCCGCAAUGGGCGAAAGCCUGACGGAGCAACGCCGCGUGAGUGAUGAAGGUCUUCGGAUCGUAAAACUCUGUUAUUAGGGAAGAACAUAUGUGUAAGUAACUGUGCACAUCUUGACGGUACCUAAUCAGAAAGCCACGGCUAACUACGUG